UUUGAACUUCUAUCUAUACACUCUUUUCUGCAAUGGCGGUAUGAACCAGACAGUGGGGACACAGCUGUUGGAUCCUUGGCUGGAGAUAACCCUGGAGUUUUCUGUACAUGCUGGGAAUACUAAGGGAAUCAGCACUGCAGACCCUUCUAGAGAGAGGAGCGCCCAUCCCACACGAAGAAGGGCAUGCUGGAAGCUAUACUGGGAGACAGAAGAAGACAGCCUGAACUCAGCCUGGCACUGUGCCCUGGCCAGCCUCUUCUCAUAGUCCUGAAGGACGUGCAGCAGGCCGCCCUCUGUUCCCAGCCCCUCCCAGCAUGGUGGCUUUGCAUGGGUUCCAUUGCCCACUGUAUAUUUAUCACUGCCCACCAGGAAGCAAGCAAGGAUGAUACACACCCAAGGGCCUGCCCCCAGUGACCUCCUUCCUCCACUUUGACCCCACUUCCCAACAGUUCCUGAACCUCCCAAAACAGUGCCACAAGCUGGGACCAAGUUUUCAAAAUGUGAUUUUUCUGGAGGAUGUUUCAGAUCCCUACCCUAGCACUUUCCUCUAGGGCUAAGAACGUUAUUUAGUUCCUUGUACCAGGAGCUUGUGUAUUGGCUUGUCUAGGCAACUGCACUGUUCAUUCAGAUCUGGCCCUACUGGUAUCCACGGUGCAAACAUGUUUUAAUAAUAAUAACAACAGUAAUACGAGACAUUCUGACAACCAAAUUGUCAGCACGGCGCUUACACUUCCCACAUUAAUUUGUUACAGCUGUCAUGACAAAGUACCACACAUCGGAGGCUGAAGUCAGAGAAAUGAGUCUUCUCACAGCUAGAACGGUGGUUCUCCACACCACUCAGUAGGGAAGUUACAGUUAUGAAGUAGCAACGAAAAU
Non-coding RNA from Peromyscus maniculatus bairdii (prairie deer mouse), 876 nucleotides. The record is from RefSeq and is a predicted model, not a curated record. NCBI's taxonomy places the organism in Eukaryota, Metazoa, Chordata, Mammalia, Rodentia, Cricetidae.